RNA transcript from Vigna radiata var. radiata (mung bean), 1908 nucleotides. It is a transcript of the gene named GTP 3',8-cyclase, mitochondrial, with no coding region annotated. Lineage: Eukaryota; Viridiplantae; Streptophyta; Magnoliopsida; Fabales; Fabaceae. The transcript is spliced from 8 exons. The record is from RefSeq and is a predicted model, not a curated record.
GCACUUUCGGGUCUCUCUGUCACACUGUCUGUUACCCUCACCCUUCAAAAACAACACGACAACCUCUCAGAACUACCUCUUACCUUGUAUAUAGAUACAUAUGUUAUGAGUCUUUGGUGUCCCAGACAAAAAUUAUAAAAAAAGAGAAUAACUUUUCCUACCCCAACUCAAUAUUUUGGCCAAAUUCAUUGUUUCAGCGUCAACCAUGAGGCGACACUUAUCAAAAUUCUUUCACUGCCCAAUUGGGAUUAACCUAUCAAAUUCCUUUCCGCAGUUGAAAUGUGAUGUGGGUUCGAACUGUGCUGCAAGUAGCACUCGUCAAGCUUUGUUCGGUGGACACUGGAAUGAAUGUGCCACAAGAGCUUUGGCUACUGCAUCUUGUGCUUCCGUGUCUGAAGAUCUGCCAAAGGAUAAUUCCGUCUCUGAUAUGUUGGUAGAUUCAUUUGGAAGGCUUCACACAUACUUGAGAAUAUCAUUAACAGAGAGGUGCAAUUUAAGGUGUCAGUAUUGUAUGCCAGCAGAAGGUGUGGAACUCACUCCUAGUCCUCAAAUUUUGACAAAUACUGAGAUUCUUCGAUUGGCAAAUCUGUUUGUAAGCUCAGGGGUAACUAAAAUACGUCUGACAGGUGGGGAACCAACUGUUAGAAAGGAUAUUGAAGACAUAUGUUUGGAAUUAUCAAACUUGAAGGGACUGAGAACACUGUCCAUGACUACCAAUGGUAUUGCCUUAACGAGAAAACUUCCAAGGCUGAAAGAUUGUGGGCUUACUGCCCUCAACAUUAGUGUAGACACCUUGGUACCUGCAAAGUUUGAGUUUAUGACCAGACGAAAAGGGCAUGAAAAAGUAAUGAAUUCUAUUAAUGCUGCCAUAGACCUUGGAUUUAAUCCAGUUAAGGUCAAUUGUGUUGUAAUGCGUGGAUUCAAUGAUGAUGAGAUCUGCGACUUUGUUGAGUUGACCCGUGAAAAGCCAAUUGAUAUUCGGUUUAUAGAGUUCAUGCCUUUUGAUGGGAAUGUUUGGAAUGUCAAGAAACUUGUACCCUACUCAGAAAUGUUGGAUACAGUGAUGAAACAGUUUCCAAGCUUAAAAAGAGUUCAGGACCACCCUACAGAUACAGCCAAAAAUUUCACAAUAGAUGGGCAUGAAGGUAGAGUUUCGUUUAUCACAUCAAUGACUGAGCAUUUCUGUGCUGGUUGCAAUAGAUUGCGACUACUUGCUGAUGGAAACUUUAAAGUCUGUUUAUUUGGUCCUUCGGAGGUUAGUUUAAGAGAUCCCUUGAGAUGUGGUGCAGAGGAUCAUGAACUUAGGGAGAUAAUAGGAGCAGCGUGAACCUUUAUUAAAGAAGAUAUACUUUAGGAAUAAAAGAAGCAUAGCAAAGGACAACACACCCCUCAGCCUAACUGACAAGGACUUGGUUAGAGCUUCUGUAUAUGUAUGGAGAUAAAAGGGUGGGAGGGGGAUGAUAUAGUUAGGUGAAGAAGAAGAAAGCUUCACAUGCUGGCAUGUUUGACAUAGCAAAGACUGCAAAUAGGCCUAUGAUACAUAUUGGUGGAUAAGGUAUCAUACAGUGAUAAAGUUACUUACAUAGCAGGCAACCAGAGUAGUCCUGGUGAGAAGUACCCUGAAUUGAGUAUUAUCUGAGAUCUUCAUUGAUAGUCAAUCUCACUACAAAGGGUGAUCAAUUUUUCAACUAUACCUAGCCACAUAUACUGUUAAAUGUUGUAUGGAGUAAUAAUGCAAAUUUGGGAUUGAAUUUUCUGAUCAUGUGUAACUCUUUCUUCAUUGGUUUAUGAUUUUUGGGUGUGUGUUAAUCUUUCUUCACUGGUUGUUUGUUUACCAAUCAGCUUUAGUUUCAGCAUGGCUCUGUAUUUAUUUCUUUUGUUGUAGAAGUGACAAUGAAAUUUUGAGAA